RNAcentral lists this ribosomal RNA (500 nucleotides) under uncultured Glomeromycotina. RNAcentral's name for it is "partial small subunit ribosomal RNA". It matches the Rfam family "Eukaryotic small subunit ribosomal RNA", at positions 591 to 1092 of the family's 1831-position model. The record is from RNAcentral. Lineage: Eukaryota; Fungi; Glomeromycota.
CCAAUAGCGUAUAUUAAAGUUGUUGCAGUUAAAAAGCUCGUAGUUGAAUUUCGGGGUCAGUAGGUCGGUCGUGCCACUGGUAUGUACUGGUCUCACUGAUUCCUCCUUCCUGAUGAGCUGUAAUGCCAUUAAUUUGGUGUUGCGGGGAAUCUGGACUGUUACUUUGAAAAAAUUAGAGUGUUUAAAGCAGGCUAACGCUUGAAUACAUUAGCAUGGAAUAAUGAAAUAGGACGUUCGAUCCUAUUUUGUUGGUUUCUAGGAUUGACGUAAUGAUUAAUAGGGAUAGUUGGGGGCAUUAGUAUUCAAUUGUCAGAGGUGAAAUUCUUGGAUUUAUUGAAGACUAACUACUGCGAAAGCAUUUGCCAAGGAUGUUUUCAUUAAUCAAGAACGAAAGUUAGGGGAUCGAAGACGAUCAGAUACCGUCGUAGUCUUAACCAUAAACUAUGCCGACUAGGGAUCGGAUGAUGUUAAUUUUUUAAUGACUCAUUCGGCGCCUUACG